Molecule: ribosomal RNA, 335 nt
Filed under: Salmonella enterica subsp. enterica serovar Heidelberg
Lineage: Bacteria; Pseudomonadati; Pseudomonadota; Gammaproteobacteria; Enterobacterales; Enterobacteriaceae
Also listed under: 6 other names
Description: partial 23S ribosomal RNA
Rfam family: Bacterial large subunit ribosomal RNA
Source: RNAcentral
GGGGGAACUGAAACAUCUAAGUACCCCGAGGAAAAGAAAUCAACCGAGAUUCCCCCAGUAGCGGCGAGCGAACGGGGAGGAGCCCAGAGCCUGAAUCAGCAUGUGUGUUAGUGGAAGCGUCUGGAAAGGCGCGCGAUACAGGGUGACAGCCCCGUACACAAAAGCGCAUGUGCUGUGAGCUCGAUGAGUAGGGCGGGACACGUGGUAUCCUGUCUGAAUAUGGGGGGACCAUCCUCCAAGGCUAAAUACUCCUGACUGACCGAUAGUGAACCAGUACCGUGAGGGAAAGGCGAAAAGAACCCCGGCGAGGGGAGUGAAAAAGAACCUGAAACCGU